This 468-nucleotide ribosomal RNA is filed under the name uncultured bacterium. RNAcentral's name for it is "partial 16S ribosomal RNA". It matches the Rfam family "Bacterial small subunit ribosomal RNA", at positions 28 to 507 of the family's 1533-position model. The record is from RNAcentral.
GACGAACGCUGGCGGCGUGCUUAACACAUGCAAGUCGAACGGAAAGGCCCUGCUUUUGUGGGGUGCUCGAGUGGCGAACGGGUGAGUAACACGUGAGUAACCUGCCCUUGACUUUGGGAUAACUUCAGGAAACUGGGGCUAAUACCGGAUAGGAGCUCCUGCUGCAUGGUGGGGGUUGGAAAGUUUCGGCGGUUGGGGAUGGACUCGCGGCUUAUCAGCUUGUUGGUGGGGUAGUGGCUUACCAAGGCAUUGACGGGUAGCCGGCCUGGGAGGGUGACCGGCCACAUUGGAACUAAGAUACGGCCCAGACUCCUACGGGAGGCAACAGUGGGGAAUAUUGCAUAAUGGGCGGAAGCCUGAUGCAGCAACGCCGCGGGCGGGAUGACGGCCUUCGGGUUGUAAACCGCUUUCGCCUGUGACGAAGCGUGAGUGACGGUAAUGGGUAAAGAAGCACCGGCUAACUACGUG